UACGGAAGGCAGCAGUGGGGAAUAUUGCACAAUGGGCGCAAGCCUGAUGCAGCCAUGCCGCGUGUAUGAAGAAGGCCCUUCGGGUUGUAAAGUACUUUCAGUCGUGAGGAAGGUGUUAAGGUUAAUAACCUUAGCAAUUGACGUUAGCGACAGAAGAAGCACCGGCUAACUCCGUGCCAGCAGCCGCGGUAAUACGGAGGGUGCGAGCGUUAAUCGGAAUUACUGGGCGUAAAGGGCACGCAGGCGGUUAAUUAAGUUGGAUGUGAAAUCCCCGGGCUUAACCUGGGAAUGGCAUUCAAGACUGGUUAGCUAGAGUCUUGUAGAGGGGGUAGAAUUCCAUGUGUAGCGGUGAAAUGCGUAGAGAUGUGGAGGAAUACCGGUGGCGAAGGUGGCCCCUGGACAAAGACUGACGCUCAUGUGCGAAAGCGUGGGGAGCAAACAGGGAUUAGAUACC
Molecule: ribosomal RNA, 454 nt
Filed under: uncultured bacterium
Lineage: Bacteria
Description: bacterial SSU rRNA
Rfam family: Bacterial small subunit ribosomal RNA
Source: RNAcentral